GUGAGUCAUCGAGUCUUUGAACGCACAUUGCGCCCCUCUGGUAGUUCCGGAGGGCAUGCCUGUUCGAGCGUCAUUAUCAACCCUCAAGCCCCUGGCUUGGCGUUGGAGGCCUGGCUUGGACUCUUGUCCCGGCCGCUCCCAAAGAUAACGACGGCGUCCUGGUGGAUCCCUGGUACAAUGAGCUUUCCAAGCACGUACUGUGGCUGUCCCGGGCACCGGUCUCAACCCCAUUUAUUUCACAAGGUUUGACCCUCGGAUCAUGGUAGGGUAUACCCGCUGAACUUAAGCAUAUCAAUAAGGCGAGG
Molecule: ribosomal RNA, 305 nt
Filed under: uncultured fungus
Lineage: Eukaryota; Fungi
Description: eukaryotic LSU rRNA
Rfam family: 5.8S ribosomal RNA (bases 1-73)
Source: RNAcentral